UGAUGUUCUCAGGGCAGGGUGAAAAUCCCUACCGGCGGUAAGCAGCGCACAGCGUUGUAAGCCCGCGAGCGCCCGCUUAUGGCGGGGUCAGCAGAUCCGGUGCAAUUCCGGGGCCGACGGUUACAGUCCGGAUGGAAGAGAACAGAA
This 147-nucleotide non-coding RNA is filed under the name Acetobacter pasteurianus. RNAcentral describes it as "FMN sequence". It matches the Rfam family "FMN riboswitch aptamer (RFN element)". From Rfam's summary of the family: The RFN element is a highly conserved domain that is found frequently in the 5'-untranslated regions of prokaryotic mRNAs that encode for flavin mononucleotide (FMN) biosynthesis and transport proteins. This element is a metabolite-dependent riboswitch that directly binds FMN in the absence of proteins. The record is from RNAcentral. Lineage: Bacteria; Pseudomonadati; Pseudomonadota; Alphaproteobacteria; Acetobacterales; Acetobacteraceae.